CCCAGCCCGCGAAGUUUUCCCCCUCAAAAUCACAAGGAUUCCGCCGUCCCACGCUCCAUUCGUUCCCCACCCACGAAAUCCCUAGAUCUCUCCUGCUGUUCCUCACGCACGCCGGUGCCCCACGCUCGACUACCGCCAGCGGCUACCGCCAUCCGGCGGUCAAUCCCGCCGCUGCCCCACGCGCCCUUCCUCUAUAGCAUCGCCCAACGCCGCCCUGUCCCUACAGCACAACCUAACUCCGUCCUGCCUCUCUCCGCCGCCGGUCCGACACCCUCGUGCUCUCUCUCUGGUUGGCCACCUCUCUCCAACAUCCCUGGCCUGGCCUGACCAUCUCCACCGUCCAGCUCACGAAGAUACACGCAGCGGCAGAUUUGGAUCAGGGCAGCGUGCGCCUGGUCAAGGGCAUCCCUCUCUGUCUUUGGCUGGGCAGGGGCAGCGAAGCGGCUGAGGAUGGAAAAUGGCAAGCGCAAGCGGAAAAGCUAAAGAUGGUGGGGUUACGGAGGAACAACUGAAAGUGGUAGAGUAUAAACUACAGAGAAGUACGACAUAAAUAAACACAGAUGCUGAAUCAAAACUGUAGUAUUCCAUCCACAUACCAAAACAGUAGUAUAUCACUGCAGCAGACUCUGUUCUGGACAUAAAUAAACACAUAUGCAUGUAAUCAUUCUCAAAACACAAACAAUGUGCUCCCUCCGUCCAAAAAUUUAUGUCUCAACUUUGGUACAACUUUGUACUAGAGUUAGUACAAAGUUGAGACACUUAUUUUGGGACGGAGGGAGUAUAAGAUAACAAAACAGUAGGCAAUGUUGUUGUAAACAUAUCUAGCCAUCAUAAAUCUCCUUACUUUUUUAUUAUAGUCUUACAGUGCUAUGACCAAAAAGAACUAGCAGGGUCACCCGCGCAUUUGCGUGGCUAGAUUAUUGUUUUUUUAUUGUGCACUAAGUUGAAAGUACUUAUUUGAAUGCUCAUGAUAGAUAUUACAAAUUACUAUGAUAUUUUAGGUGAAACUUCCUAUCAUCGUUUUAGAAUAUUGCUGAUGUGGUGCUGAAAAGGAUAUUCCACUUUUGAGACUUUAAAAUUAAAGUUCUACUUUAAACAAUGUAACUAGAAAUAUUCAUCAUUUAAGGGUUUUGUAACCGUCUAAAAGGUGUGGUACAUGUAUGUCAUGGAAGAGGUCGUGAUGCUUCGGCACCUGGCCUCUAAACCGCGUGCAACCGGCAUGCCAUCUAAUUUCUGAUGGGUAGGUAAAUUAUCUCAUCCGGCCACCUUCCUCUCUUUCUAUUCUUCCAUAGUCUUCUCCACUGCCAAAUCAUUGGCUUGACAUCCCUUUAGCUUGUAAAGCUUCAUCUGGGUUCCCUUUAUACCGAGCCGACACUUACGCCAAUAGAAAUAACUUCUGAUCAAGCACCACAUUGGGAGACAGUCAGCCUUGCAGGUGUCAUCUGGUCUAUAGUCUAGUGGCUGCACAUUUGUUCGGCUCGAUUUCCUGUGUGUUUUCAUACCUAAAUUAGCAUUAGGAUGUUGGUGUGGGAAGGUGGACUUGAAAAAUCACAUAAAAUAUUAUGGUAAAAAUACAGAAUGUGGAAACUCAUUUGUCAAAAGAAGAAAACAAUUGUAGCAUGUAUCUAUAUCAUGAGUUAAUGUUAGUAUACUGGAGUAAAUUUGUUUUAUUAUCUAUAACUGAAAAUCAUAUUGUGGUCCACAUAUGUCAUGCCUAACUAUAUAUUGGUCUCAGUCUCUUAACCACAAUUUUCAAGAAACAUCUGAGCAAAAUGUAAUACCCAACACUAAUGUCUAGUAUAGCCCCCUCAUUAUUAUUUCAGUGCAUUAUGCAAUAUAAUGUCGUCCAACUAAUGUGUAAGACAAUAAAAAUGUUUCUGUCUUUUUCUAAAAUAAAAGAUAACCUCACCUACUGAAUAUUGCCUUAUCUAUGUAGUAAUACAUAUUUUGGCAUAACUGUGUAUAUUCCUCUUGCAAGGUUCUUUAUUUUUCUCAAAGAAUAGCAUUAGCUUUUUCCUUAAGGAUAUUCAUCGAAGAAUUUUAUUAGUAUGUGUAGAAUGUAUCUCUUCACCCCACAAAAAAAGUAUCUCUUCACUCCUUAGUCCGUCACUUGCAUAUCCAAUUUACUUUUGUUAGACCUCAGAGUGAUAUGGAUCGUUUAAUCAGCUGACCAUGCUUGAUUGUUUCUAUUUAGAGAGCAGAUUCAUCGGUCACGGAUCAAAAAUAAAUUUUUUUAUCUGAUGCAAUCAAAUAAUAUUUUGUGUCUCCACAAAAAACGAUUUUGUAUAAAUUGUCACGUAGAGUUUGAUGUUGUCACAAGGUCCAUUGCAUGGCCAUCUAGCAAGGUAAUCACCAACAAUAUGUGUUUUGUCUACUUGGCUCAAAUUGUUUGAUGUGUCAUACUAAUUCAUGUUCACUUUGGUAGAUGAAACCCUACAAGCCAUGGGUAUCUUCCUCAUCCCGCCACUAAGGAACAUAGCAUUAUAAGACAAGAGGAAUAUGAAAGAACCACGAAGCUGUCAGUUUGCAUCAACUAGAUAUCUUCUGUAAUGGAGGAAAACCAAUGCUUCUUGUAGCUACCAUUUUGUAAAGGAUAUCUUGUGUAAGAGCAAGCAUUGAAUCGUCGGACAUGUAUCUAUCAUUUUAUAAACCUAUCGGGUGUAUCGGUCACCCAGACAAAUGUUUCCUCUUAUUUAGUUACUUCUAUUAUGAGAA
Long non-coding RNA from Triticum aestivum (bread wheat), 2715 nucleotides. RefSeq lists it as uncharacterized. The transcript has 3 exons. The record is from RefSeq and is a predicted model, not a curated record. Lineage: Eukaryota; Viridiplantae; Streptophyta; Magnoliopsida; Poales; Poaceae.